RNAcentral lists this long non-coding RNA (398 nucleotides) under Gallus gallus (chicken). RNAcentral's name for it is "long non-coding RNA NONGGAT008398". The record is from RNAcentral. Lineage: Eukaryota; Metazoa; Chordata; Aves; Galliformes; Phasianidae.
UUUGAGACCAUUCUUAGGGUGCUGUCACCAGGAUCCUGUUUGGAUCUGAGACUUGGAGAUCUGCAUCUGAUGAGCCUAAAUGUUGACAGAGAAUGAGAGAAAAUAGGAGCCCAGAGAACUAAAGAUGAGAUAGCUGAGAGCAUUGCCAAUAUGGAAAAGAAUCUCAUUGUCACGCAGGAAGGAUGGAGAGACCUUGGAGACUGUGGCAGAAGCAGUAUGAGAUAUUGUAACUCACGGAGGCUGUUCUGACCUGGAACAAGGCAUCCUAAUUGGCACUGCUCUUCGGCACAUCUUCAGAGCUUUGUAUUUAGCCCCCAGACCUCAAGUGCAGCAACCAAGGAUAACAGUGGCAAGCAAAGACAUCCUUGAUGUGUUUGCAGAAUGCUUACGUGCAGGCA